Molecule: ribosomal RNA, 1888 nt
Filed under: Escherichia coli
Lineage: Bacteria; Pseudomonadati; Pseudomonadota; Gammaproteobacteria; Enterobacterales; Enterobacteriaceae
Description: partial 23S ribosomal RNA
Rfam family: Bacterial large subunit ribosomal RNA
Source: RNAcentral
GAUCUAGCCAUGGGCAGGUUGAAGGUUGGGUAACACUAACUGGAGGACCGAACCGACUAAUGUUGAAAAAUUAGCGGAUGACUUGUGGCUGGGGGUGAAAGGCCAAUCAAACCGGGAGAUAGCUGGUUCUCCCCGAAAGCUAUUUAGGUAGCGCCUCGUGAAUUCAUCUCCGGGGGUAGAGCACUGUUUCGGCAAGGGGGUCAUCCCGACUUACCAACCCGAUGCAAACUGCGAAUACCGGAGAAUGUUAUCACGGGAGACACACGGCGGGUGCUAACGUCCGUCGUGAAGAGGGAAACAACCCAGACCGCCAGCUAAGGUCCCAAAGUCAUGGUUAAGUGGGAAACGAUGUGGGAAGGCCCAGACAGCCAGGAUGUUGGCUUAGAAGCAGCCAUCAUUUAAAGAAAGCGUAAUAGCUCACUGGUCGAGUCGGCCUGCGCGGAAGAUGUAACGGGGCUAAACCAUGCACCGAAGCUGCGGCAGCGACGCUUAUGCGUUGUUGGGUAGGGGAGCGUUCUGUAAGCCUGUGAAGGUGUACUGUGAGGUAUGCUGGAGGUAUCAGAAGUGCGAAUGCUGACAUAAGUAACGAUAAAGCGGGUGAAAAGCCCGCUCGCCGGAAGACCAAGGGUUCCUGUCCAACGUUAAUCGGGGCAGGGUGAGUCGACCCCUAAGGCGAGGCCGAAAGGCGUAGUCGAUGGGAAACAGGUUAAUAUUCCUGUACUUGGUGUUACUGCGAAGGGGGGACGGAGAAGGCUAUGUUGGCCGGGCGACGGUUGUCCCGGUUUAAGCGUGUAGGCUGGUUUUCCAGGCAAAUCCGGAAAAUCAAGGCUGAGGCGUGAUGACGAGGCACUACGGUGCUGAAGCAACAAAUGCCCUGCUUCCAGGAAAAGCCUCUAAGCAUCAGGUAACAUCAAAUCGUACCCCAAACCGACACAGGUGGUCAGGUAGAGAAUACCAAGGCGCUUGAGAGAACUCGGGUGAAGGAACUAGGCAAAAUGGUGCCGUAACUUCGGGAGAAGGCACGCUGAUAUGUAGGUGAAGUCCCUCGCGGAUGGAGCUGAAAUCAGUCGAAGAUACCAGCUGGCUGCAACUGUUUAUUAAAAACACAGCACUGUGCAAACACGAAAGUGGACGUAUACGGUGUGACGCCUGCCCGGUGCCGGAAGGUUAAUUGAUGGGGUUAGCGCAAGCGAAGCUCUUGAUCGAAGCCCCGGUAAACGGCGGCCGUAACUAUAACGGUCCUAAGGUAGCGAAAUUCCUUGUCGGGUAAGUUCCGACCUGCACGAAUGGCGUAAUGAUGGCCAGGCUGUCUCCACCCGAGACUCAGUGAAAUUGAACUCGCUGUGAAGAUGCAGUGUACCCGCGGCAAGACGGAAAGACCCCGUGAACCUUUACUAUAGCUUGACACUGAACAUUGAGCCUUGAUGUGUAGGAUAGGUGGGAGGCUUUGAAGUGUGGACGCCAGUCUGCAUGGAGCCGACCUUGAAAUACCACCCUUUAAUGUUUGAUGUUCUAACGUUGACCCGUAAUCCGGGUUGCGGACAGUGUCUGGUGGGUAGUUUGACUGGGGCGGUCUCCUCCUAAAGAGUAACGGAGGAGCACGAAGGUUGGCUAAUCCUGGUCGGACAUCAGGAGGUUAGUGCAAUGGCAUAAGCCAGCUUGACUGCGAGCGUGACGGCGCGAGCAGGUGCGAAAGCAGGUCAUAGUGAUCCGGUGGUUCUGAAUGGAAGGGCCAUCGCUCAACGGAUAAAAGGUACUCCGGGGAUAACAGGCUGAUACCGCCCAAGAGUUCAUAUCGACGGCGGUGUUUGGCACCUCGAUGUCGGCUCAUCACAUCCUGGGGCUGAAGUAGGUCCCAAGGGUAUGGCUGUUCGCCAUUUAAAGUGGU